This 444-nucleotide ribosomal RNA is filed under the name uncultured bacterium. RNAcentral describes it as "bacterial SSU rRNA". It matches the Rfam family "Bacterial small subunit ribosomal RNA", at positions 335 to 795 of the family's 1533-position model. The record is from RNAcentral.
UCUCCUACGGGUGGCAGCAGUGAGGAAUAUUGCCCAAUGGACGCAAGUCUGAGGCAGCGACGCCGCGUGGGUGAAGAAGGCCUUCGGGUCGUAAAGCCCUUUUCUGUGUGACGAGGAAGGACGGUAGCACAGGAAAAAGUCUCGGCUAACUACGUGCCAGCAGCCGCGGUAAAACGUAGGAGGCAAGCGUUAUCCGGAGUUACUGGGCGUAAAGCGUGCGUAGGCGGGUCGGUAAGUGGGUCGUGAAAGCGCCGGGCUAAACCGGGCGAGGACGAACUAGACUGCCGGUCUAGAGGCGGAUAGAGGGGUGCGGAAUUCCGGGUGUAGCGGUGAAAUGUGUAGAGAUCCGGAGGAACACCAGUGGUGCAAACGGCGCCCUGGGUCCGAACUGACGCUGAGGCACGAAAGCGUGGGGAGCGAACGGGAUUAGAUACCCCAGUAGUC